Molecule: long non-coding RNA, 214 nt
Filed under: Mytilus galloprovincialis (Mediterranean mussel)
Lineage: Eukaryota; Metazoa; Mollusca; Bivalvia; Mytilida; Mytilidae
Source: RNAcentral
GAGUUUCCGAGGGUAUCACCAGCCCAGUAGUCAGCACUUCUGUGUUGACAUGAAUUAUCAUUGAUUUGGUCAUAAUUAUAAAUUAACUGUUUACAAUAAUUCGUGUUCUUACUUUACCACGUGAACAUAUUGCUCAUGCACCACCACUUUCAGAAGAGUAAAUAGUUCUUAGUAUUUUGCGUGCAAAGUCUGAAUGGUUUUAUUUUAAAUCAUC